Molecule: ribosomal RNA, 497 nt
Filed under: uncultured bacterium
Lineage: Bacteria
Description: partial 16S ribosomal RNA
Rfam family: Bacterial small subunit ribosomal RNA
Source: RNAcentral
GAUGAACGCUGGCGGCGUGCCUAAUACAUGCAAGUCGAGCGAACGGACGAGAAGCUUUCUUCUCUGAUGUUAUCGGCGGACGGGUGAUUAACACGUGGAUAACCUACCUAUAAGACUGGGAUAACUUCGGGAAACCGGAGCUAAUACCGGAUAAUAUUUUGAACCGCAUUGUUCAAAAGUAAAAUACGGUCUUUCUUUCACUUAUAGAUGAAUCCGCGCUGCAUUAGCUAGUUGGUAAGGUCACGGCUUACCAAGGCAACGAUGCAUAGCCGACCUGAGAGGGUGAUCGGCCACCCUGGAACUGAGACACGGUCCAGACACCUACGGGAGGCAGCAGUAGGGAAUCUUACGCAAUGGACGAAAGCCUGACGGAGCAACGCCGCGUGAGUGAUGAAGGUCUUAGGAUCGUAAAACUCUGUUAUUAGGGAAGAACAUAUGUGUAAGUAACUGUGAACAUAUUGACGGUACCUAAUCAGAAAGCCACGGCUAACUACGUG